Molecule: ribosomal RNA, 632 nt
Filed under: Salmonella enterica
Lineage: Bacteria; Pseudomonadati; Pseudomonadota; Gammaproteobacteria; Enterobacterales; Enterobacteriaceae
Description: partial 23S ribosomal RNA
Rfam family: Bacterial large subunit ribosomal RNA
Source: RNAcentral
GGGUUGUGAGGUUAAGCGACUAAGCGUACACGGUGGAUGCCCUGGCAGUCAGAGGCGAUGAAGGACGUGCUAAUCUGCGAUAAGCGCCGGUAAGGUGAUAUGAACCGUUAUAACCGACGAUUUCCGAAUGGGGAAACCCAGUGUGACUCGUCACACUAUCAUUAACUGAAUCCAUAGGUUAAUGAGGCGAACCGGGGGAACUGAAACAUCUAAGUACCCCGAGGAAAAGAAAUCAACCGAGAUUCCCCCAGUAGCGGCGAGCGAACGGGGAGGAGCCCAGAGCCUGAAUCAGCAUGUGUGUUAGUGGAAGCGUCUGGAAAGGCGCGCGAUACAGGGUGACAGCCCCGUACACAAAAGCGCAUGUGCUGUGAGCUCGAUGAGUAGGGCGGGACACGUGGUAUCCUGUCUGAAUAUGGGGGGACCAUCCUCCAAGGCUAAAUACUCCUGACUGACCGAUAGUGAACCAGUACCGUGAGGGAAAGGCGAAAAGAACCCCGGCGAGGGGAGUGAAAAAGAACCUGAAACCGUGUACGUACAAGCAGUGGGAGCACCUUCGGGUGUGACUGCGUACCUUUUGUAUAAUGGGUCAGCGACUUAUAUUCUGUAGCAAGGUUAACCGAAUAGGGGAGCCG